RNAcentral lists this ribosomal RNA (463 nucleotides) under Fusarium oxysporum. Its description in RNAcentral is "eukaryotic LSU rRNA". The stretch from base 111 to 264 matches the Rfam family "5.8S ribosomal RNA". Lineage: Eukaryota; Fungi; Ascomycota; Sordariomycetes; Hypocreales; Nectriaceae. The record is from RNAcentral.
UUGUUGCCUCGGCGGAUCAGCCCGCUCCCGGUAAAACGGGACGGCCCGCCAGAGGACCCCUAAACUCUGUUUCUAUAUGUAACUUCUGAGUAAAACCAUAAAUAAAUCAAAACUUUCAACAACGGAUCUCUUGGUUCUGGCAUCGAUGAAGAACGCAGCAAAAUGCGAUAAGUAAUGUGAAUUGCAGAAUUCAGUGAAUCAUCGAAUCUUUGAACGCACAUUGCGCCCGCCAGUAUUCUGGCGGGCAUGCCUGUUCGAGCGUCAUUUCAACCCUCAAGCACAGCUUGGUGUUGGGACUCGCGUUAAUUCGCGUUCCUCAAAUUGAUUGGCGGUCACGUCGAGCUUCCAUAGCGUAGUAGUAAAACCCUCGUUACUGGUAAUCGUCGCGGCCACGCCGUUAAACCCCAACUUCUGAAUGUUGACCUCGGAUCAGGUAGGAAUACCCGCUGAACUUAAGCAUAUC